CAGGUACACCCUGGACAGGUCGCCAGUCUGUCGCAGGGCAACACAAAGACAGACAGGACAAACAACCAUGCACACACACACUCACACCUAGGGAGAAUUUAGAGAGAAAAAUUAACCUGACCGUCAUGUUUUGACUGUGGGAGGAAACUGGAAUAUAAAGUUAAUAACACA
Xiphophorus hellerii (green swordtail) is the source of this 171-nucleotide long non-coding RNA. RefSeq lists it as uncharacterized. Lineage: Eukaryota; Metazoa; Chordata; Actinopteri; Cyprinodontiformes; Poeciliidae. The transcript has 3 exons. The record is from RefSeq and is a predicted model, not a curated record.